GGGGGUGAAACUGGUUUCGACGGGUUUAUUACGUUAUUAGAUUGCACGUCCUGUUCCUCAACUACAGGUUAAACAGUGAGAAAAUGCUUUAAAUGGCGAAAAUAAUUACGCUUUAGCUGCUUAAUUUAAUAGGUAGCCGUUCUCCUUUUCUAUUCGUGCCGUGAAUUGGAAGAACGCCGUUAGGUGCGAUAGCUGAAUCGAGAGUCUGAGUAGAGGAUGCGAAAUUUAUCAGACUGGCUUAAUAAAAUCAUGUCUGUAAGAGUUUAUUAGGUAAGAUUAAAAAACAGACUACACGUGUAGAUGUUUAGUAAAUGAUAUUUUCGGACGCGGGUUCGACUCCCGCCACCUCCACAA
This 354-nucleotide transfer-messenger RNA is filed under the name Melioribacteraceae. RNAcentral's name for it is "JAEINS01 sp016342755 Standard tmRNA". It matches the Rfam family "transfer-messenger RNA". Rfam says of the family: Bacterial tmRNA, also known as 10Sa RNA or SsrA, is named for its dual tRNA and mRNA-like properties. Its role is to liberate the mRNA from a stalled ribosome. Lineage: Bacteria; Pseudomonadati; Ignavibacteriota; Ignavibacteria; Ignavibacteriales. RNAcentral also lists the same sequence under 1 other name. The record is from RNAcentral.